GAAGCUCAACAAAACUUCCAACCUAGAAAUUGAAAAGAAACAGUUAUCCAAUGACGAAGCAAGCUAAUGAAAACCUUUGGUUAUAUUUUUUGUUUCUGAAAUCUCAGAGUUGAUUUUCCAGAAAUUUUCUUUACUAAAAUGAAAGUGAAGAACAGUGAACUCUCAGAAAUUAGUGUAAAUUAGUGAGGAAAAUGAAAAAAGGAAUUCUGAACUUUAGGGUGUUUUUGUGUGUGAUGUCUGUGUGAGUGAAGGGAAUAUGAGGCCUCUUAUAUAGGCAAACGGUGAGGGAAUAAUUCUUGGGAAUGCGGUCCCUAAAAAUAAGGAGAAAGGAUAUUUUUUCUAACCAAUUUUCUACUGAUGUCCCUUUUUAUAAGAUAUUAUCCUAUUUUCAGCAUUUUUUAAAACUGAAAAUGGACAGUUGUCCAAUACUAUAAGCUUCUUUUGGUUUUCAAACUUCUAAAAAUAACCCUUCUUACCCCAGAUUUUGACUCAAAUUCCUUGUUUUAUUACCCUAAGUUUUAAGUUCCCUUAAACCCACCUCAAGUUUCAAUUAAGACAUAAAAAAAAAACACAAACACACUGAUGUGAACAAACAUUAACCAACCAAAUUAUUUAACAAGUUAAUUGAUAACUUAUGCAACUAAAAACACUAACUGAAUCCGGCCAGAACAGAAAACCAAAUGAAAAUGAUAAUCAAAAAGAUAUUAAUCUUAAAUCAUACAAUUAACUUAAAUAUUGAACUAUGCCUAACUAAUUAUUCAAAAGAAAAAAACAGAAAAAGAAACAAGAAAAAGGAAAAAGGUAAGUAUACUAAUUUGACAGUAAGUGAGUCAACGAUUGAUGCGAAUCAACGAGCGAUGAUGGCGACGAAGCUUGGCCGGUCAGUGGUGACUUGGCCAGAAUCCAACGGGUUUAGAAAUGAACGAAAUUAACAUGAAUUGAUUGCUUGUAUCAAGAGCAAUCGACUCAUGUAAGUUUGAGUCAAAACAUGCUUGAAAUUUUCAGAAAAAAUCAUAUUUAGGUUUAUGAUUUUCUUAGAUUUGAAAUUGACCGAAUUUGGUGGGUAUUUUGGAGAAGAUGAUGAUGUAUUAGGGUUGAGGGGAAGAUGGGGAGUGUAUGGUGUAAUUUUGGGAUGGUUUGGAGUGGCACCGCCGCCGUGGGCGAUUUUCGGCGACGGUGGGCGGCUACGGCUUCUCUGAGUUAAGAGAGACAGAGAAUGAGAGAGUCUUGGGGAGGGGGGG
RNAcentral lists this long non-coding RNA (1241 nucleotides) under Nicotiana tabacum (common tobacco). Its description in RNAcentral is "long non-coding RNA (NTAB_LNC003359)". Lineage: Eukaryota; Viridiplantae; Streptophyta; Magnoliopsida; Solanales; Solanaceae. The record is from RNAcentral.